CUAGCCUGGCGGGAACCCUCUCGCGGAGCCUUCGCCACCUGUGGGGCUGCGCUGCUGAGUGCGCCCUGCCUGGCACAACAGGCUUGAGUCACGGCGUUGAGGAACUAGCCAUGUUGGAGCGGAAGGGUGAUCCGUCAGGCAGUCGGAGCUAGCACGCUCAGAGGGAGUGCAGUCCCUCCCCUUUCUGCCUCCUCCCCACCCUGUUUCAAGGCUGGAUGCAGGGCUAGACCUCCGCAAAAUCGUGAAGCCGAAGAAAUUUGGGUCCGCCCAUCUGCUCUUACUGCACUGCGUCCGCCCUCUUUGUUUCUGUCUCAGUCUCUCUGUCUCCCUUCGUUCUCUUUCUCUCCCCCUGCUACCCCCCCCCACAGUUACACACACACACACACACACACACACACACACACACACACACACGCAGUGUGAAAGAUGCGAGCCAUAGCAUCUCGUAACAUGAAGGCCAUCCAGCUCCAUCCUCCCACUGCUGCUUGAACAAUAUGCUUAACACGUAGUGCCGCAGUCGCUGCUUGGAUUGAAUGUGUUCAUGCACAGAUUUUAUCAUCUUGUUACUCAAACGACUGAUGGCUUCUGACCCUGCCUGAAAAUUUCCUAAGAGGUAACAGUUCUAGGACACAGAUGCUGGAGGGAGUGGAGGAAGAAGUUUAAUUACCACAUACAGCUCUUCCAUAUGCAAGGUCUCUGGGGCAAAACUGUCAUUCUGUCUGAAGCCAGACCCUCAAUGUCAGACUAAGAGAGUCGGAUGGAGACUACAUCUUCUGUGUGUGUUGCAAUGGGAGGACUUCUCUCCACCGAGUUUAGUGAGGGAGAGCACCAAGGCUUAUCUGAUAGUAUACCAGGCUAUGUGUAGGCUUGCAUCAUGAACUUUUGCUUCAGAACGACUGCUGGAAUACAUUAGGAAAACCAAGAGAACCCACAGUCCCUCUGAAGGAAGUGGUUUGCUCCUGCAGGACCCAGGAGACACCCCAAAUACUGGGUUCUUGAAGAGGACUGCCAGAAGCACUGGGGAAAGGCCACAAGGAAAAGGAAACCUCCAGCCGAGCCCUUUGGGUUGAGUGGAAGCUGGGUGAGGCCUGUGACUGCUAGCUUUCCCCCACUUCCCUGACAGCCUGUGUAACACAGUAGAGGCAGCCAUAAUCCUCCUAAGAUCAUAACUCCAUUGACCUGGGAACCUCAUCCCUAUCCCCCACAGCAGCCACAGCAAGACAUGCCCAAGGAAAGAGUCUGAGCUCAAACAUGCCUAGCCCUGCCCCCACACAAUGGUCUUUCCCUACGUACCCUGGUAACUGAAGACAAAGGGCAUAUACUCUUGGGAGUUCUAGGGCCCCACUCACCGCUUGUUUCUCCCCAUAGUACCACAGCUGAUGCUCUCAGGAAAGCACCCGACAGGCCAACUAGCACAAAAAUAGUGAAUUAAACCACCAAAGCUAAGAACCCUCACAGAGUCCAUUUCACCCCCCUGCCACCUCCACCAGGACAGGUGCUGGUAUCCAUGGCUGAGAGACCCACAGAUGGUACACAUCACAGGACUCUGCAGAUAACCCCCAGUACCAGCCCAGAGCCUAGUAGACUUGCUGGGUGGCUAGAUCCAAAAGAGAGAUAAUAAUCACCACAGCUUGGCUCUCAGGAAGCCACAUCCAUAGAAAAAGGAGGAGAGUACUACAAGGGAACACCCGGUGCGACAAAACAAUCUGAACAGCAGCCUUCAGCCCUAGACCUUCCCUGUGACAGGUUCUACCCAAAUGAGAAUGAACCAGAAAACCAACUCUGGUAAUAUGAAAAAACAAAGUUCUUUAACAUACCCCCAAAAUCACACUAGCUCACCAGCUAUGAAUCCAAACCAAGAAGAAGUCCCUGAUUUACCUGAAAAAGAAUUCAGAAGGCUACCUAUUAAGCUAAUCAGGAAGGCACCAGAGAAAGGCAAAGCCGAAUGUAAGGAAAUUUAAAAAAAAAUAAAGAGGUGAAGGGAGAAAUAUUCAAUGAAAUGGAUAGCAUAAAUAAAUAAAAACAAUCAAAACUUCAGGAAACAUUGGAGCAAUUAUGGAAAUGCAAAAUGCCCUGGAAAGUCUCAGCAAUAUAAUUGAACAAGCAGAGGAAAGAAUUUUAGAACUCAAGGACAAGGUUUUCAAAUUAACCCAAUCCAACAAUGACAAAUAAAAAAAAUAUGAACAAAGCCUUCAAGAAGUCUGGGAUUAUGAUAAAUGACAAAACCUAAGAAUAGUCGGCCAUCCUGAGGAAGAAGAGAAAUAUGAAGUUUGUAAAAUGUAUUGAAGAGUAUAAUUGAAAAAAACUUCCCUGGCCUUGCUAAAAUCUAGACAUCCAAAUGCAAAAAACUCAAAGAACACCUGGGAAAUUCAUCACAAAAAGAUCAUUGCCUAGGCACAUUGUCAUCAGGUUAUCUAAAGAUAAGAUGAUAGAAAGAAUCUUAAAAUCUGAGGUAACCUAUAAAGGAAAACCUAUCAGAUUAACAGCAGAUUUCUCAGUAGAAACCCAACAAUCUAGAAGGGAGUAGGGCCCUAUCUUCAGCCUCCUCAAACAAAACACUGAUCAGCUAAGAAUUUUGUAUCCAGCAAAACUAUGCUUCAUAAAUGAAGGAAAGAUAGAAUCUUUUUCAAACAAAUGCUGAGAUAAUUUGCUACUACCAAGCCAGCACUACAAGAACUGCUAAAACAAGCUCUAAAUCUUGAAGCAAAUCUUGGAAUUACAUCAAAAUAGAACCUCUUUUUUUUCAUGUCAGAGGGGUUUAUUUUUUAUUAUUAUUAUACUUUAAGUUCUAGGGUACAUGUGCACAAUGUGCAGGUUUGUUACAUAUGUAUACAUAUGCCAUGUUGGUGUGCUGCACCCAUUAACUCAUCAUUUACAUUAGGUAUAUCUCCUAAUGCUAUCCCUCCCCCCUCCCCCCA
Long non-coding RNA from Homo sapiens (human), 2918 nucleotides. RefSeq lists it as uncharacterized. Lineage: Eukaryota; Metazoa; Chordata; Mammalia; Primates; Hominidae. The record is from RefSeq and is a predicted model, not a curated record. The transcript is spliced from 5 exons.